UACGUAGGGGGCAAGCGUUGUCCGGAUUUAUUGGGCGUAAAGAGCUCGUAGGCGGCUUGGCAAGUCGGGUGUGAAAACUCCAGCUCAACCUGGAGACGCCACCCGAUACUGCCAUGGCUAGAGUCCGGUAGGGGACCACGGAAUUCCUGGUGUAGCGGUGAAAUGCGCAGAUAUCAGGAGGAACACCGGUGGCGAAGGCGGUGGUCUGGGCCGGAAGCUGACGCUGAGGACGAAAGCGUGGGGAGCGAAGCAGG
RNAcentral lists this ribosomal RNA (254 nucleotides) under uncultured bacterium. Its description in RNAcentral is "partial 16S ribosomal RNA". It matches the Rfam family "Bacterial small subunit ribosomal RNA", at positions 524 to 777 of the family's 1533-position model. The record is from RNAcentral.